UACAGAGGUCUCAAGCGUUGUUCGGAAUUACUGGGCGUAAAGGGUGCGUAGGCUGCGCAGAAAGUCAGAUGUGAAAUCCAGGAGCUCAACUUCUGAAUGCAUCCGAUACUCCUGUGCUAGAGGACUGGAGAGGAGCUUGGAAUUCUCGGUGUAGCAGUGAAAUGCGUAGAGAUCGAGAGGAACACUAGUGGCGAAGGCUGGGCUCUGGACAGUAUCUGACGCUGAGGCACGAAGGUCAGGGGAGCAAACGGGG
RNAcentral lists this ribosomal RNA (253 nucleotides) under uncultured bacterium. RNAcentral's name for it is "partial 16S ribosomal RNA". It matches the Rfam family "Bacterial small subunit ribosomal RNA", at positions 524 to 777 of the family's 1533-position model. The record is from RNAcentral.